GAUGAACGCUGGCGGCGUGCCUAAUACAUGCAAGUCGAGCGAACAGAGGAGGAACUUGCUCCUCUGACAUUAGAGGCGGACGGGGGAGUAACACGUGGAAAACAUCCCUAUAAGACUGGGAUAAAUUAGGGAGACAGGAGCUAAUAUAGCAUAAAAUAUUGAACCGCGUGGUUCAGGAGAGAAAGACGGUUUUGCUGUCACGUAUAGAAGGAUCGGAGGCGCAUUAGCUAGUUGGUAAGGUAACGGCUUACCAAGGCGUCGAUGAUUGGCCGACCUGAGAGGUGGACCGCCCACACUGGACCUGAACCACGCUCCAGACUCCUACGGGAGCCACCAUUAGGGAUUCUUCCGCAUGGGGCGAAGGCCUGCCGGGCCACCGCCGCGUGGUGGAUGAAGCUCUUCGGAUCUUAAGACCCGUUUAUUAGGGAAAAACAAAUGUUUACGAAUCGUGGCACGUCUUGACGGUACCUAAAUAGAAAGCCACGGCUAACUACGUG
Molecule: ribosomal RNA, 497 nt
Filed under: uncultured bacterium
Lineage: Bacteria
Description: partial 16S ribosomal RNA
Rfam family: Bacterial small subunit ribosomal RNA
Source: RNAcentral